GGACUACCGGGGUUUCUAAUCCCGUUUGCUCCCCUAGCUUUCGCGCCUCAGCGUCAGUAUCGGGCCAGAUGUGCGCCUUCGCCACCGGUGUUCCUCCUGAUAUCUACGCAUUUCACCGCUACACCAGGAAUUCCCACAUCCUCUCCCGUACUCAAGCCAAGCAGUAUGGGAUGCCGGUCCCCGGGUGAGCCGGGGCAUUUCACAUCCCACUUACCUGACCGCCUACACGCCCUUUACGCCCAGUGAUUCCGAACAACGCUUGCUCCCCCCGUGUUACCGCGGCUGCUGGCAC
Molecule: ribosomal RNA, 292 nt
Filed under: uncultured bacterium
Lineage: Bacteria
Description: partial 16S ribosomal RNA
Source: RNAcentral